This 474-nucleotide ribosomal RNA is filed under the name uncultured bacterium. Its description in RNAcentral is "bacterial SSU rRNA". It matches the Rfam family "Bacterial small subunit ribosomal RNA", at positions 332 to 802 of the family's 1533-position model. The record is from RNAcentral.
CGGCUUCCUACGGGAGGCAGCAGUCGAGAAUAUUUAGCAAUGGGCGAAAGCCUGACUAUGUGACGCCGCGUGAGGGAUGAAGGUCUUCGGAUCGUAAACCUCUUUCGAUGGGAAAGAAACUCCCGACCUAAUACACGGGAUUGACGGUACCCAGAGAAGAAGCCACGGCUAACUCCGUGCCAGCAGCCGCGGUAAUACGGAGGUGGCGAGCGUUACUCGGAUUCAUUGGGUGUAAAGGGCAGGUAGGCGUCCCGGCAAGUUUUAGGUGAAAUCCUUUCGCUUAACGAAAGAACUGCCUGAAAAACUGUCGGGAUUGAGGCCAAAAGAGGAGAGCGGAAUUCCCGGUGUAAGGGUGAAAUCUGUAGAUAUCGGGAGGAACACCAGUAGCGAAGGCGGCUCUCUGGUGUGGUCCUGACGCUGAGCUGCGAAAGCUAGAGUAGCAAACAGGAUUAGAUACCCCAGUAGUCCAAGCCG